UACAGGGGGUGCAAACGUUGCUCGGAAUUAUUGGGCGUAAAGCGCGCGUAGGCGGCUACUUAAGUCGGAUGUGAAAGCCCUUGGCUCAACUGAGGAAGUGCACCCGAAACUGAGUGGCUUGAGUACUAAAGAGGGUCGCGGAAUUCCCGGUGUAGAGGUGAAAUUCGUAGAUAUCGGGAGGAACACCGGUGGCGAAGGCGGCGACCUGGGUAGAUACUGACGCUGAGGCGCGAAAGCCAGGGGAGCAAACAGG
This 253-nucleotide ribosomal RNA is filed under the name uncultured bacterium. Its description in RNAcentral is "partial 16S ribosomal RNA". It matches the Rfam family "Bacterial small subunit ribosomal RNA", at positions 524 to 776 of the family's 1533-position model. The record is from RNAcentral.